This 440-nucleotide ribosomal RNA is filed under the name uncultured bacterium. RNAcentral's name for it is "partial 16S ribosomal RNA". It matches the Rfam family "Bacterial small subunit ribosomal RNA", at positions 338 to 795 of the family's 1533-position model. The record is from RNAcentral.
CCUACGGGUGGCAGCAGUAGGGAAUAUUGCUCAAUGGGGGAAACCCUGAAGCAGCAACGCCGCGUGGAGGAUGAAGGUUUUCGGAUUGUAAACUCCUUUUGUUAGAGAAGAUAAUGACGGUAUCUAACGAAUAAGCACCGGCCAACUCCGUGCCAGCAGCCGCGGUAAUACGGAGGGUGCAAGCGUUAUUCGGAAUCACUGGGCGUAAAGAGGGCGUAGGCGGGAUAGCAAGUCAGAUGUGAAAUCCUAUGGCUUAACCAUAGAACUGCAUUUGAAACUGUUAUUCUUGAGUAUAGGAGAGGUAGGUGGAAUUCGUGGUGUAGGGGUAAAAUCCGUAGAGAUCAAGAAGAAUACUCAUUGCGAAGGCAACCUACUAGAACAUAACUGACGCUGAUGCGCGAAAGCGUGGGGAGCAAACAGGAUUAGAUACCCGAGUAGUC